This 1156-nucleotide long non-coding RNA is filed under the name Triticum aestivum (bread wheat). RNAcentral's name for it is "long non-coding RNA (TAES_LNC004722)". The record is from RNAcentral. Lineage: Eukaryota; Viridiplantae; Streptophyta; Magnoliopsida; Poales; Poaceae.
GACGAUUGGAUCCGCGGCGGCUGAUGUCUACUCAGGCAGGUAUGCAUCCUUUCCCCACUCGAUCCACAAAUUUUUUUCCCCAUUUCCUGUAGUGACGAAUCGAGGGACGCGGUGGUUUGGUGCUUCCCCUGCGGUGGUAGGGCGGUGACUGGUGGGUGCUCCCCCUGCGAUGGUACGGGGUGGUGGUGCCCCGUCGCAGUGGCGAUUUUUGUGCUCCGCCAUGUGUUUUGUCGUUGUGCUCCCCGGCUUUGGUGGUGGUGCUCCGCGGCUGUGGUAGGAGGAGGUGUGGUAGUUUGUACUAGGAGAGGAGGUCGCCGGUGUAAUAGAAAGAGGUGGUCGCCGGCAUAGUAGGAGACGAGGUGGUCGCCGGUGUUGCAGAGUUCAGUUUUUGUUUCUGAAAUUUAUGUAGCUCAUAACAUUGUUGUACCUUCUUACCGCCGCAUAGCAAUGUCUGAUUUAUGUAGUUGAUUUUUGUGUGUAUACCUCCAUGUUUAUCUGAAUUUUUGGUAGUGGAUUGCCUGUAGCAUCAUAGAUUAACAGAUGUGUUUCAGAAAUGUUAGUGGAUUGCGUGUAGCAUCAUGCUUGGUAGUGAAUUUCAGAAAUGACAGAACCAUUUUUGCAGUAAACAAUGUUCAGCAGAUGUGUUUCAUUCAGGGUUUUGUAACAUUUUGUAGCAUUAUUUUGAAUCAUUGUUUGAGUUACAUUGUUUCUGCCACUGUCUAUAAGAACAACAUGGGUGAGAGUUGUGAGAGCUUGCUGGUGUUGCAUUUUUUUGAGUUCAUUAUAGUUUGUUUGUUUUCAAAUGGACACAUGAGCUGUGGCAGUUGCAGGAUUAAAGUUGUACUUGGUUUUCCUGGAGCUCAUAACUCUUUCAUCUGAAUUUUGUAGUGGAUUGCUGUAGCGACCAGACCUCAAAUGGUCUGUGCUGCUGUGCACCAGUGUCAUCCCUGGAUCAGUAAUGCUGACACGCACAGUACAAAUGGAGGAUUUAUAACAGAGUAGCAAUCACACACUUAUUACAUCGAAUAUCUCCGAAGAGAUUAAGUAUGAUAAGCAUGGCUUAAGGCCAUCUAAUAACGAUAACAGCGGAAGACUUGGAAGAUAAGUGAGUCCAUCAACUCCAGCGGCAUCACUGAGUAUAAGACCACGACCUAAG